RNAcentral lists this ribosomal RNA (1129 nucleotides) under Sinorhizobium sp. RNAcentral's name for it is "bacterial SSU rRNA". It matches the Rfam family "Bacterial small subunit ribosomal RNA", at positions 325 to 1448 of the family's 1533-position model. Lineage: Bacteria; Pseudomonadati; Pseudomonadota; Alphaproteobacteria; Hyphomicrobiales; Rhizobiaceae. The record is from RNAcentral.
GCAGGGCGACUCUCCGGGAGGCAGCAUGGGGGAAUAUGGGACAAGGGGCGCAGGCCUGAUCCAGCCUUGCCGCGGGAGUGAUGAAGGCCCUAGGGUUGUAAAGCUCUUUCACCGGUAAAAAUAAGGACGGUAACCGGAAAAAAACCCCCGGCAAAUUUCGGGCCAGCACCCGCGGUAAUACAAAGGGGGCUAGCGUUGUUCGAAAUUACGGGGCGUAAAGCGCACGUAGGCGGACUUUUAAUUCAGGGGUGAAAUCCCGGGGCUCAACCCCGGAACUGCCUUUGAUACUGGGUGUCUAGAGUCCGGAAGAGGUGAGUGGAAUUCCAAGUGUAGAGUUGAAAUUCGUAAAUUUUCGGAGGACCACCAUUGGCGAAGGCGGCUCACUGGUCCGGAAACUGACGCUAAGGUGGCGAAGGCGUGGGGGAGCAAACCAGGAUUAAGAUUACCCCUGGUAGUCCCACCGCCGUAAACGAUUGAAAGGUUAGCCCGUCGGGCAGUUUACUUGUUUCGGUGGGCGCACCUAACGCAUUAAACAUUCCGCCUGGGGGAGUACGGGUCCGCAAGAAUUAAAACUCAAAGGAAUUUGACGGGGGCCCGCCACAAGCGGUGGAGCAUGUUGGUUUAAUUUCGGAAGCAACGGCGCAAAACCUUUACCAGCCCUUGACAUCCCCGGUCGCGGAUACGAGAGAUCGUAUCCUUCAGUUCGGCUGGACCGGAGACAGGUGCUGCAUGGCUGUCGUCAGCUCGUGUCGUGAGAUGUUGGGUUAAGUCCCGCAACGAGCGCAACCCUCGCCCUUAGUUGCCAGCAUUCAGUUGGGCACUCUAAGGGGACUGCCGGUGAUAAGCCGAGAGGAAGGUGGGGAUGACGUCAAGUCCUCAUGGCCCUUACGGGCUGGGCUACACACGUGCUACAAUGGUGGUGACAGUGGGCAGCGAGACCGCGAGGUCGAGCUAAUCUCCAAAAGCCAUCUCAGUUCGGAUUGCACUCUGCAACUCGAGUGCAUGAAGUUGGAAUCGCUAGUAAUCGCAGAUCAGCAUGCUGCGGGAAUACGUUCCCGGGCCUUGUACACACCGCCCGUCACACCAUGGGAGUUGGUUCUACCGAAGGUAGUGCGCUAACCGCAAGGAG